Oncorhynchus kisutch (coho salmon) is the source of this 233-nucleotide long non-coding RNA. RefSeq lists it as uncharacterized. The transcript is spliced from 2 exons. NCBI's taxonomy places the organism in Eukaryota, Metazoa, Chordata, Actinopteri, Salmoniformes, Salmonidae. The record is from RefSeq and is a predicted model, not a curated record.
AACUGUUUAUUUAUGUUCUACUCCUUCCAUUUUUACUGCAUCUACCAUUUGAUCAACAUGAAAUCAACUCUGACUCUGCUGUGUCUGGUGGUAUGGGUGAAUGUGGAUGCUUCAUCAGCUCAGACUGAGUACUGUGGUAAGCCUGAGGGUGAAGGGAGGAGAAUGCUGCCGAUUUCUGAUCGAGAACGUUAUGAAAAUGGGGACCAAGUGGAGUAUGGAUGUCUUGCAACUUG